RNA transcript from Homo sapiens (human), 7047 nucleotides. RefSeq lists it as uncharacterized. The transcript is spliced from 4 exons. The record is from RefSeq and is a predicted model, not a curated record. Lineage: Eukaryota; Metazoa; Chordata; Mammalia; Primates; Hominidae.
AUUACACGAAAUCACCAACGUGACCAAAGUAAUUCAGAAAAAUGUGUGAGCUCUUAUACUUAAAUCUGUGUUAAAAAAGACUGAGUUUUUCUUUUUUUCUCUAUGUACUUUAUACUUUACUUUCAAGCUCCGAUCUACUAGAACAAAGGCUGACUGGAACUUCCCUUUACAGUCUUAAACUUACAUGAAGGAUGAAUAGUAUUCUCAUCCAUCCCUACUUUUUUUGCCUCUAUCUUUUCAAUUUAUGUUGAAAGAGACUAGGCCAAAGAUAUUUUAAGAUGUCUAUGUAUAGCUACAUUAUAAAGAUUAGAUGGGUUCUAAAAUUGUGAUUUAAUAAAUGUAACUAUAAUUAUAUAAUUUAUAAUAUACCAAACAACUAGUAAUACAUUAGAUCAGUCCAUUUUUCCAGUUUUUCAGGACACAGAUAUUUCUGCCAUUUUAUAAAUUAAAGAUUUUGAGUUACUUUAAUAUUUGGGGUUGUAACAUACUUCUCAAGGUUAUUAAAAUGUAGUUAAAAUCUGCUCUCACUGUAAAGUGUUAAAAUUCAGAAGAAUAUUUGAUACCAUUUUUUCCCUCUUGUUAAAUGCCAUGUUUGAAUUUGCUGUGAAAUUAGAGAAAUUUAAUUUUCUCAGGUUGGGAUAGGGUACUUAAUAAAUGAUUAAUGAUGGGAUUAAGUUGUUAAAUUUUCUAAAAAUUGAAAUGAAUAUAAAUGCACAAUUAACAUAAAUUUGAGUAACCAAAGUCAAUUUUUAGUUAGAUUCUCCCUUUUUUUCUUAAUAGGAUUACUAGAAAGAUUUGAAACUUAAAUAUAAUCAACUCCUAAAGUUCACAUAAAUGUGACUAAUAUAAAGCACAUCUUGAUAAAUUAGUAUGUGUUAUCAUGCCUCAUAAUUAACAAGGAAUUAGAAAUUAAAUUUGUUUAUACGAACUUCUAAAAUAUAGAGGAAAAAUAAACGGCAACUGGAUCCCUUAAUAGCCCUAUAGAUAAUAAAAAUCAGAGAUUGAUUUAAAAUAAAUGCAUACCAAAAAAUACUUUGAAUGCUUCAGAUCUACUUUAAAGUAUUUUGCUAUUUAUUUUUUCUCUUUAUUUUAGAACAAAAUUUAUGAAUAGAAAUGUGGCAUAUAAAUUGGAACUGUUAUGAUGUGUGUUUCAUAUUUCUGGAUUUGGAGACAUGUUCUAAUUUUAAUCUGUAUGUAUCUUCCCUUUAGUUAUUAUUUAUUUUUAUUUUUCUUUUAUUAAUAGAGAUAGAAGUAUUUCUGCACCCAAUCCAAUUAACUGGAAAAAGGUCAUAUAAGAACAUGAAAAGUCUAAUCCCAGUAUGGCCAAAAUAGGUUUGCCAACAUGGGCUAGGCCGGUAAGGAGGGAAGAGACAGGGACAGGGCAGAGGCUCCUCAGGAGGCCUUCCCUCUUUAGACCUCUUUUGGGGGUCGCCGGGGUCCUGACCCCCAGGUGCAGGUCGUCCUGGGAGGAAGGGUGGCACCAGAGUACUGGAUGCUGGCAUAAGAGCGAGUCUGAGCAGCUCACUCCAUGCCACAUCUCCCGCAGCAGUGACUUCCGGCAGGAACUGAGUCUGUACCGCGAGAAUCUUAAACACCCGCGAGUGCCCUUUCAAGCCUGCUGGGGAAUGCGCUCCCUUUCCCCAAACGUCCCUUGGUUCCCCCGUCGACCUACCCGUCCGAGGGUCCUGGGUACCCAACGCCGCCACGUCUGGCACCUCAACUCACAUCUGGCGUCUCAACUGUCGCGUGGCGCCUCGGCCAGAGGUCCCACAAGGUGGCGCAGCCUUUCCGUGGCGCCCAAGAGCCCGCAGGCGCGGGUGGCUUGGCCCGCGUGGGCUCCGAACUGCGGCGGCUCCGCUAGACAGUUGCAGAAGCUGGCGGACGGCCGGGACCCCCUGCCUUGCGCAGCCAGGCGUCGAGGAGGCGGCGGCGAGUGCUGCGGUGCUGGCUGGGUGGCCGAGUGGUCCCCGCAGCCUCUGGACCCAGCCAUGCUGCUCUGGAUGCAGGGCUUCGUGCUGGAGGCGGUGGCCUGCCAGGAUAACGAUGACUACUUACGCUACGGGAUCCUCUUCGAAGACCUGGAUUGCAAUGGGGACGGCGUGGUGGACAUCAUUGAGCUCCAGGAGGGGCUGAGAAACUGGAGCUCCGCGUUUGACCCCAACUCCGAGGAGCAUGGAUAGUGAUGGAUCAAUGACAGUAGACUGGGAUGAAUGGAAGUACUACUUUUUACUGCAUCCUGCAACAAAUAUCACUGAAAUGAUUCAUUUCUGGAAGCAUUCUACUGUGGCGUGCCCUUGGAAAGCUAUCAGGAAUCAGGAUGUGUCCUAAGGGAGCAGAGGCCCAGUUACUGAGGAAGCUGUUUUAUAUUUCCACCUGCAACACAGAAUUUUCAGCUCCUGCUCUUACCUAAGGACUGACUGAACUGAGUCACCUAUCUGAAAAGAAUAUAGAUCACAGAUGGAAUCAAACAUGCGGAAGGAUGAUGGGUUAUGUGUCUUACCAUCUAAUGCCAUUCAAAGUAUGUUCCCUACACUUAGCCCACUGAAUUAAAGGUUUAUCUCCAUGGGAUGCAUUAACCAGAAUCUCAACCUAUAUUUAUGUAAGAAAUAUUAGGCAUGGGGGGAAUAGUAUUUACUCCCCUUGGUGCUCCCACAGUACUAUGUGUAUCAUCUGUCUGGGUAGAUAGCACUUAUAUCACAUUUUAUUAUUACCUAUCUAACUAACUAUUGUCCAAGAAAGCUUGUAAAUUCUCUAAGGACAAAAACUAUGUCUAACAUUUUCCUAUAGUCCCUAAUGCCUAUUAAAGCAGCUAGUAUAUAAUUGGCCCUAAAUAAAUAUAUGUGGAAUUAAUGAAGUCUUUUCCCUUGCAAAACCUAUCCUUCUAACAACCUAUAUUUUCCAUAAAUGAUAUAUUUAUAUAAGUUUAAUUCCUAAUUAAGAUAAAUCAUUUUUUAGAAUGAGACAGAAGUAUAAACUAAAUAGUUCUUAAACAUGUGACACUAAAGUUAUUACACAAUUAAUUCACAUUGUAUAAUAACUGUUCAUAAUGCAUUACUAAAAUGUCACCAACAUUACCGAAAAGCAAAAGAUAGUAAAACACCCACAUAUGUGAAUUUAAUUUGAAAUUUAAGUUAAUUAGGUUGUGGAUGAUUAAUUUUUAUAUCCUUGCAGAGAAAGUAUUCAGCAAAUAUCAAACUUUAAUUGUGGAUUCUACUUAUGAUAAUUAACACAUUAAGCCAUGCACUAUUUUAUAACUACUGUUGACAAUCCAUUAUUCAAUGAAAUAAAUGUAAUUAAACAAAAUAUAAUAAUAGACUCUAAACUUAUUUUCUGCCUCUUGGAAAUAUUUUUAGUAAUUAAAUGGUAGAAUAGAACCAUGCUAUUAUGUUGGUGCCAGGGUUAGAGAUAACCAAUACAAAGUCUAAUGGUAUCUUCUCAUUUCUUUCAUAAAUUUAGUUCCAUUUUUGAAAAAAAUUCUAAUAGAGUGGUUCUAUUAUUAUUUAAAAUAAAAAUUAACUUGAAUACACAGUAGCUUCUUUAAGAAAAUUAAGAAAUCUUUUAAUAUUGAAAAUUAGCAUUUACAUUUUCAGGAAAAUGUAAAAUUUUAAUGAGAAGUAGUAUAUGAGAAAACAUUUUUUUAAAACCUUUUUUGAAAGCUGCCAAAGACUUUUCAAGUUACUUUAACUCUUAAAGGGUAGGUAAGGCGAGCAAAAAACCUGCAUCAUGACUUUCAAGCGGUCUAAAGGUGCCGUGCAUGUCCGUGCAACCGCACUAGCUAUUCCUGCUGACACCAAACGCUUCCACCAAUCUCCAGACUGCUUUUCUUGUUCGGUAAAUUCAUCUGGAAUAGCUAUACUCUCUCCUAUAUCAAUUAACUGAUAAAUAGGAAGAAUUAUUAGACAAUAAACAAAAGUGUAAACACUUGAUAAAUUAUAAGGAUAGCUUUCUACAAGGAGCAAAGAUAACUUUUUACAAGGACCAAAAAUCCAAAGAUUUUUUUCAUGCCACUUCCUGUUACUGAAGAUCAACAAUUUUCUUAGCACCUGUACUACAUCAAGUGAUUUUUAAUAAUGCAUUGACAUAUAGAUUUAAUGUAAAAUCAAUUAAAUUAGAGCAAUUAUUAAUUUAAAAUUCUCAAACUAUUUAGUUAAUCUGUUCUCUGAAAAAUGUAAACCCUGAGUACAGGGAUUACAUACCAGCCACUCAUCACAAUGUCUGCCACAUACUAGGCAAGGAAUAAAUAAUAAAUAUUCCUUGCUUUAUUUCAAAUUCUCUCAAACUCCUUUAAUUACUUAAACCUAAGUCAAAAUUCAAGAGUAGCAUCUUAUAUGAUUUGAUUAAAUUUCUUUAUUAUUUGCAUUGACUCCUUCUUCAAAUGUCAGUUUCCUUUUUAAAAGUCUAUACUCUAACCACUUUUGCAUUUUACUUUAUUUUCAGUGAUCAUACUUGCUUAUGACAAGAUGAUCACUUUUUUCUAAAUGAUGAGGCAAUGUGGUUUAGUGCAGAAGUUAGUUUCUGCCCUCUAGGAAUUUACAGAGUAAUAAAAGAGAUAGGAAAGGAAAAAAAGCAAUUAUAAUACAGAGAAAAUAAGUAAAAUAACAAGGGUAGCAAAUAAAGGUGUCUUAAGAAGACAGUAUAGAGGCUGGAGGCAAAGCAAGAAGGCAGAAGACUCUACCCAUCAUCCCCCUGCAAGGACACCAAUUCAACAAUUAUCUACCCAAAUAAAACACCUUCAUAAGAACUAAAAAUCAGAUGAGCCCUCAUAGUAACUGAUUUCAGCUUUGUAUCACUGAACGAGGCAGUGAAGAGAUAGAACAAACAGCCUUAAAUCGCUGGCACCAUCCCUGCUACACCCCAACAGUGGUGGCAAGGUACGGGGAGUGUCUCUGGGCACUGGGGGAGGGAGAGCACAGCAAUUGUGAGGCAUUAAACUCAGUGCUGUCCUGUUAAAGAAGAAAGGAAAAGUGAACUGAACUCAGCGGACACCCACCCAUGGAAGAAAUAAGAUGUAUGUGUGUGCAAGUGUGUGUGUGUGUGUGUGUGUGUGUGUGUAUGUGUGCAUAUGUGUUUUUGAGACAGGGUCUUACUCUGUUGCCCAGGCUGGAGUGCAGUGGUGUGAUCAUGGCUGACUGCAGCCUCGAUCUCCCUGGGCUCAGGUGAUCCUUCCACUUCAGCCUCCCAAGUAGCUGGGACCAUAGGCAUGCGCCACCACAAGGCUAAUUUUUGUAUUUUAGUAGAGAUGGGGUUUCACCACGUUGCCCAGGCUGGUCUCAAACUCCUGGACUCAAGCAAUACUCCCAUCUUGGGCUCCCAAAGUGCUGGGAUUACAGGUGUGAGCAACUAUGCCCAGCCAGAGAGAGCAUUUAAACCAGCCCUAGCCAGAGGAGAACUAUUAAUACCAGUGGUACAAACUUGAGUUCCCACAAACCUUACCACCAUUAGGCCACGCUGCACUGGGUCUCUAAGUAAACUGGAAACACAGUGUAGACCAUAAGGACUUCAAUUGCUAGGUGAAUCCUAGUGCUGAACUGGGCCCAGAGACAGGACUAGCGGAAAUCUCAAGACCUACUCAGACAGCAGCUGAGGUGGCUAAGGGAGGGCUGACAUCGUCCAACCCCUAACCCCAGGCUGCACAUCUUACGGCACCAAAAGAGACCCCUUCCUUCCACCUGAGAAGAGGAGAGGGAAGAGUGGGGAGGACUUUAUCCUGCAUCUUGAAUACUAGCUCAGCCACAGGAGGAUAGGGCACCACUCAGAGUUGCAAGGCUCCUGUUCCAGGCCCUACCUCCUGGAUGACAUUUCUAGACACACCCUUGGCCAGAAGAGAAUCUGUUGCCUUGAAGGGUAGGACUCGGUCCUGGCAGCAUUCAUCACAUGCUAACUGAAGAACCCCUAGGCCCUGAAUAACCAGUAGUGAUACCCAAGAACUAUGUCAAGAGCCUUAGGUAAGCCUAUGAGACUUCAGGUGAGACUGAGUAUAUUACAAGCUGUGGUGGGUACAAGGCAAAACUCCUUCUGCUUGAAAAAAGCAUAGGGAAAAGUAAAGGAAACUUAGGCACCGGCAUGGCCACAGUGGGGGAAGGGGGUAGAGCACUAAAUGGGCUCUUUAGGCCCCUGAUUCCAAGACUUGACUCUUGGAUGGCAUUUCUUGACCUGCUGUGGACCAGAGCUGACCUGAAAGAUCAGGCAGCAUUCACCACAAGUGGACUUAAGAGACCUUGGGCCUUAAGAGAAAACUGGCAGUAGUCUGGCAGUAUCCCAGUAUUCCCCAUGGCCUGUAGUGGUGGUGGCCUUUGGAAAGGGGAGGGAAGAGUGGGAAAGACUGUAUCUUGUGGUUUCACCGCUUUAGGUGGCUCAAAACAGAAAAGAGACUUUGUUAGUUUGGGGAAAAGUAAAGGAAGAGAAGAAGAGUCUCUUCCUGGUAAUCCAGAGAAUUCUCCUGGAUCUUGUCCAAGACCAUUAAGGCAGUACCUCUAUGAGUGUGCAAGAACCACAGGCUUACUGGGUUUUGGGUGCCCUCUAAAACAGAUACAGCUUAGAUCACAACACUCAAGUUCUUUCAAAUAACUGGAAAGCCUUCCCAAGAAGAACAGGUACAAACCAGCCUAGACAGUGAAGACUAUAAUGAAAACCUAACUUUUCAAUGCUGAGACACCAAAGAACAUCUGCUGGCAUCAACACCAUUCAGAAAAACACAACCUCACCAAAUGAACUAAAUAAGGCACCAAAGACCAAUCCAGAAGAAACAGAUGUGUGACCUUUCAGACACAGAAUUCAAAAUAAUUUUCAGGAAACUCAAAGAAAUUCAAGAUAACACAGGGAAGGAAUUCAGAAUUCUAUCAGACGAAUUUAACAAAGAGAUUAAAAUAAUUAAAAUGAAUCAAGAAGAAAUUCUGGAGCUAAAAAAUGCAACUGGCAUACUGAAGAAUGGAUCAGAGUCUUUUAAUAGCAGAAUUGGUCAAGCCGAAGAAUUAGUGAGCUUGAAGACAGGCUAUUUGAAAACACAAAGAAGAAACAAAACGAAAAAAAAAAAAAAAGAAUAAAAAA